CGUGUAGGCGGCUAGGUAGGUCCGUUGUGAAAACUCGAGGCUCAACCUCGAGACGCCGGCGGAAACCCCCUGGCUAGAGUCCGGAAGAGGAGAGUGGAAUUCCUGGUGUAGCGGUGAAAUGCGCAGAUAUCAGGAAGAACACCCGUGGCGAAGGCGGCUCUCUGGGACGGUACUGACGCUGAGACGCGAAAGCGUGGGGAGCAAACA
Molecule: ribosomal RNA, 207 nt
Filed under: uncultured bacterium
Lineage: Bacteria
Description: partial 16S ribosomal RNA
Rfam family: Bacterial small subunit ribosomal RNA
Source: RNAcentral